RNAcentral lists this ribosomal RNA (561 nucleotides) under uncultured Paracoccaceae bacterium. Its description in RNAcentral is "bacterial SSU rRNA". It matches the Rfam family "Bacterial small subunit ribosomal RNA", at positions 339 to 917 of the family's 1533-position model. Lineage: Bacteria; Pseudomonadati; Pseudomonadota; Alphaproteobacteria; Rhodobacterales; Paracoccaceae. The record is from RNAcentral.
CUACGGGAGGCAGCAGUGGGGAAUCUUAGACAAUGGGCGCAAGCCUGAUCUAGCCAUGCCGCGUGUGUGAUGAAGGCCUUAGGGUCGUAAAGCACUUUCGCCUGUGAAGAUAAUGACUGUAGCAGGUAAAGAAACCCCGGCUAACUCCGUGCCAGCAGCCGCGGUAAUACGGAGGGGGUUAGCGUUGUUCGGAAUUACUGGGCGUAAAGCGCGCGUAGGCGGGCUGGAAAGUUGGGGGUGAAAUCCCGGGGCUCAACCCCGGAACUGCCUCCAAAACUCCCAGCCUAGAGGUCGAGAGAGGUGAGUGGAAUUCCGAGUGUAGAGGUGAAAUUCGUAGAUAUUCGGAGGAACACCAGUGGCGAAGGCGGCUCACUGGCUCGAUACUGACGCUGAGGUGCGAAAGUGUGGGGAGCAAACAGGAUUAGAUACCCCUGGUAGUCCACACCGUAAACGAUGAAUGCCAGUCGUCGGGGAGCUUGCUCUUCGGUGACGCAGUUAACGCUUUAAGCAUUCCGCCUGGGGAGUACGGUCGCAAGAUUAAAACUCAAAGGAAUUGACGGA